CAGAGGGCUGGGGGCCGUUUUGACCCAGCAGGUGGAUGGAGUCGAUCGCCCGGUGCUGUACAUCAGACAAAAAUUAUCACAUCGGGAGGCGAGGGCUAUGAGAGAGAGAGAGAGAGAGUGCAAGAGGAUGUUGAUUGGGAAGAAGCAGCAAGUGACAUGAAGAUUAUCCUGUUCCUUGGUUCAAGACUGAAGCAGCAAUGAACUUCGAAGGCAACAAGCACUGUGGAUCAAAUAUCACAAUAUCAAUAUCUCACAUUGUUCAGGAAAUCACAGUUGGAAUAUUUUACCUAGCAAGGUCAGAUAACACAGAAUUUAGGGAUAGAUAGAUAAAACCAGUUACAGAGUAAAAUGCAUAAUUUGUUGUACAAAAUGGUAUAUUUUAGCAGAAUUAUUUCUAAUCCCCUUUUUCAUUUGAGGAAAAAUACUUGGUGGCAAGCAAGUAAAUGCUUUAGCAUUCUUAAACUGUAGCGUUUCAUUCAAUUCAGAUUUAUUAGUAUUGACUUUGGCAAAACAGACAAGGUGUAAGGAAUUGACCGGUGGCUGGACGAUGGUAAGUAGUGGAAGAGACAGUGUUUUCCAAAACCAGUUAUAACUCCCCUCCAAUUAGUUCAUGAACACAAGGCGUUCUUUGGUUGCAGGCAUUUAUUGCACAUCCAUGCCGUUAACAUGCCGUUAAACAUGCUGUGAGAACUAGACAAAAUAAAGCACAAAUCAUAAAUGAGUCCAGUGCGAUACAGUGCAUUCUCAUAGAGAAUAACCAUUAAACAGAUAUUUCACAAACACAAAUAUAGCUUCAAAUAUAGCUUGCAUAAUCCAUUAUUUUAGAUUAAACCCACGGAAUUAGCUUGCCAAACACCCGCAAACGUAGGUGGGCCACCGCGAACUCCACCAGAAUAUUAGCCGUAGCUAGCCCCCUAACACACAUUUAAUAACUAUAGGCACAAUAUAGUAACACACAGAUAACAUUACACACCUCAUUGGCCGCGCAACUCGAAGGGGGGUACAAAACAAAACUUCAACCUUACAAGUCCUUAGCCAAUUCCAAUCCUCAUGAACGCAACCAUAAGCAACGUAACCCAAAAACAUCAUUCUCGGCAGAAUCUGACAUGUACUCUGCCUCUCGUGGUAAUUCCAGAGCGCAACUAACAACAAUGCCCCAACCCCACUGUAACACAAUGACAUUGGAUUGGACAAAUGAACUUCAACUGUACAACUGACGCUGACGGCAGCUACACCAGUGAUUUUUUUUUUUUUUUUCAGCAGGUGGAUAGCCAGUGUCAAACUAUAUACAGAUUGUGGUACAUCACAAAAUAUAAAACAACAAAAAAAAACUGUACAAAAAAGGAAAUUAAACGGGCAUAUGUUGCCAGGCUAUGUCUUCCUCAGACCCUGCACACAUAACUACCCGUACUGUCUUUACUGCACUGGUGACAACCAGUAACCUCAACUGUAAAAACCCAACUCCCCUGAGGAGCCUAAUGCAAGCCCUUUAAUCAGCAGCUCCUACCAUUGCAGUAAUAAGCAGCAGUUUAAACAACAAACACUACCAAUUGCUUAUUUAAAAUCAAUAAGCAACCACAGUAAUUACAGACAAGUAACAAACAUAGGAAUUCACCUUUCCAUAAUCUACAGGGUUCUGAACAGCAUUAAUACACGUUUUAGUACGCUGCUCACUAAAUCACCCCUCCUACAAUGGCACAGCCCAAUAACACCCCCAGAAAAUCCUAUACAAAAAUACCACUUGGUACGGUCGCGCCUGUUUCGCGGGAGAAACAACACGAAAGAACGCUGGAAGAAUCUAAGUUGAUUAUAGAUUGUGAUUUUCUUGUUUUAGCAGAAUACUAAAA
Molecule: long non-coding RNA, 1847 nt
Organism: Anguilla rostrata (American eel)
Lineage: Eukaryota; Metazoa; Chordata; Actinopteri; Anguilliformes; Anguillidae
Exons: 3
Source: RefSeq, a predicted model, not a curated record